Brachypodium distachyon (stiff brome) is the source of this 855-nucleotide long non-coding RNA. RefSeq lists it as uncharacterized. Lineage: Eukaryota; Viridiplantae; Streptophyta; Magnoliopsida; Poales; Poaceae. The record is from RefSeq and is a predicted model, not a curated record. The transcript is spliced from 3 exons.
UCGUCAUCCAUAAUGCCCCUUGUCUUAAAAGAGUGCCCCAUCUCGAUAUGAAUGCUACUCAGCUUAACAUGCAUAUAAAAGUAAUUUCCGCACCUAAACUGGAGACCUUGCGCUGCCAUUCUUCUGAGUUUUGUGCCUCCACCAAAUUCUCGUUCGGCUCCGCGGCUAUCCAGGGAUUACACACCUGUAGCCUAACGACGGCAGUGAGCACUGUCAAAAUUUUAGCCGUGGAGAUGGAGACUCUUUGUCUGGACACAAUUAUUGACUUCAUGAGAUGCUUUCCAUGCUUGGAGAAGUUGUACAUUGAGCCAUUUGGAGUUGGAAGUGCAAACAAUUUGUGGCGUCGUAAACACCGGAAUGUUAUCAAAUCUUUUGACAUCCUCUCAAGACAAUAGUUUUGGGAUAUUAUCGGGGAAAUCCGUCUGUCAUUAACUUUGCCACAUUUUUUGUCUUUAACGCGAGAUUUCUAGAGUUGAUGACAUCUGAGGUUCGUUCCAUGCAAUACAAUCAGGGGUUCUUGGCAGAGCAAGAAUGGACGCUUCAGCUAGAUAAAAGGGCUUCAAAAGGUGCUGAGUUUCAAUUCACAACUGAUCGAUCUAUCCGUGGUAUGCCUCAUUAUCCCCGUGAUUUGGAUUUAACUGAUCCAUUCAAAUUUUGAUGUUGAUGUUGACACAACGGUUAGUCUUUUUAGAGCUAUUCUUGCCUAUCAAGCGAUCUCCUGUUGGCACUAGUCCAGACUUGAGUAAUUUCAGUUUCAUUGUCUGAAGUCCUCAAGUUUUUAUUGGAUGGAACCUUCGGGGUUUGUAAAAGCUAUGUGUGUGCCAUUAGUUUGUGAUAUUUCUCCAGAAUUUAUGA